CCGACGGUGAGAGAUGAAAGCUGGGGGAGCAAACCGGAUUAGAUACCCGGGUAGUCCCAGCCGUAAACGAUGUGCGUUAGGUGUAUCGGUGACCACGAGUCACCGAGGUGCCGAAGAGAAAUCGUGAAACGUACCGCCUGGGAAGUACGGUCGCAAGGCUGAAACUUAAAGGAAUUGGCGGGGGAGCACCACAACAGGUGGAGCCUGCGGUUUAAUCGGACUCAACGCCGGGAAACUCACCGGAUAAGACAGCUGAAUGAUAGUCGGGCUGAAGACUCUACUUGACUAGCUGAGAGGAGGUGCAUGGCCGUCGUCAGUUCGUACUGUGAAGCAUCCUGUUAAGUCAGGCAACGAGCGAGACCCACGCAACAGUUGCUA
RNAcentral lists this ribosomal RNA (378 nucleotides) under uncultured archaeon. Its description in RNAcentral is "bacterial SSU rRNA". It matches the Rfam family "Archaeal small subunit ribosomal RNA", at positions 691 to 1069 of the family's 1478-position model. The record is from RNAcentral.